CGGAGAUAUAUGGAGCUUGCUUUAUAUAACUUAGCAGCGAACGGGUGAGUAACACGUAGAUAAUCUAUCCUAUACUGGGGGAUAGCCCGAUGAAAGUUGGAUUAAUACCGCAUAUAGCUAUAUAGUUGCAUGAUUAUGUAGUGAAAGAUUUAUUGGUAUAGGAGGAGUCUGCGGCACAUUAGCUAGUAGGUGAGGUAAAGGCUUACCUAGGCGACGAUGCGUAGCCGGUCUGAGAGGAUGAACGGCCACAAUGGAACUGAGACACGGUCCAUACUCCUACGGGAGGCAGCAGUGGGGAAUAUUGCACAAUGGGGGAAACCCUGAUGCAGCAACGCCGCGUGAGUGAAGAAGGUUUUCGGAUUGUAAAGCUCUGUUAGCAGGGAAGAGGAAGGACGGUACCUGCAGAGGAAGCCACGGCUAACUACGUGCCAGCAGCCGCGGUAAUACGUAGGUGGCAAGCGUUGUUCGGAAUAACUGGGCGUAAAGGAUGCGUAGGCGGUUAAACAAGUUAUAUGUUAAAUAUAUAGGCUUAACCUGUAGAAACCAUAUAAAACUGUUUAACUAGAGUGCAGGAGAGGUAAGUGGAAUUCCUAGUGUAGCGGUGAAAUGCGUAGAGAUUAGGAAGAACACCAGUGGCGAAGGCGACUUACUGGACUGUAACUGACGCUGAGGCAUGAGAGCAUGGGGAGCAAACAGGAUUAGAUACCCUGGUAGUCCAUGCUGUAAACGAUGGGUACUAGGUGUGGGUUGUGAAUAACAAUUCGUGCCGUCGCAAAC
Molecule: ribosomal RNA, 777 nt
Filed under: uncultured bacterium
Lineage: Bacteria
Description: bacterial SSU rRNA
Rfam family: Bacterial small subunit ribosomal RNA
Source: RNAcentral